RNAcentral lists this small RNA (674 nucleotides) under Pan troglodytes (chimpanzee). RNAcentral's name for it is "retained intron". Lineage: Eukaryota; Metazoa; Chordata; Mammalia; Primates; Hominidae. The record is from RNAcentral.
UAAAAGGACAUCCUGUCAGUACUUUAUCUCGUUCUUCUUGUGAUUUACAAAUUCUGGAUGCAGCUAUUGUUGAGAAAAUUGAGGAAGAAGUCGAAAAGUGCAAGCAAAGAAAGAAUAAUAAGAAGGUGCGAGUAACAGUGAAACCCCAUUUGCUAUACAGACCUUUAGAACAGCAACAUGGAGUCAUUCCUGAUCGGGAUGCAGAAUUUUGUCUUUUUGACCGUGUUGUAAAUGUGAGAGAAAACUUCUCAGUUCCAGUUGGCCUUCGAGGCACCAUCAUAGGAAUAAAAGGAGCUAAUAGAGAAGCCGAUGUACUAUUUGAAGUAUUAUUUGAUGAAGAAUUUCCUGGAGGGUUAACAAUAAGAUGCUCACCUGGUAGAGGUUAUCGACUGCCAACAAGUGCCUUGGUGAACCUUUCUCAUGGGAGUCGCUCUGAAACUGGAAAUCAGAAGUUGACAGCCAUCGUAAAACCACAACCAGCUGUACAUCAACAUAGCUCAAGUACCUACUAAAGAUGAUGAUGAAUUCUGCAACAUUUGGCAGUCCUUACAGGGAUCUGGAAAGAUGCAACACUUUCAGCCAACUAUACAAGAGAAGGUUAGUAUUCCUUGUUUUGAUGGACAAUUAAUUUAAAGAAAAUAUAUUUUUAUAUUUUUCUUUUAAGACUACAAUGA